This 1121-nucleotide long non-coding RNA is filed under the name Numida meleagris (helmeted guineafowl). RNAcentral describes it as "lncRNA (ENSNMEG00000015397.1)". Lineage: Eukaryota; Metazoa; Chordata; Aves; Galliformes; Numididae. The record is from RNAcentral.
CUGAGGUUUUAAACUUGGUUCUUCCAUGUAACUUCAUCCCAAGCAUGUGUGCCUUGAUCAUUGGAAGUGUCAUUCUUUCUGGUUUACUGCUUUUGUUCACAUAUUAUAGGUAUGUGUGGGUGUGUAGAUAUAUAUACUGACCUGUUAUCUGAAGGUUAGCUCGUUUCCCAGUCCCUGGAUCUCCCAUACCGAACUUAGGCUGGAUGACACAUGCAGCUUGCAGCCAGCAUCCCAAAUCUAACCUGCAACAUCUCCCGGAACCAGGGAGCUUUCUGUUCUGCUGCUUACAGUGCUUUGUUUGGGAGCAUGCUUGGAAACUCAGCUGUUGUGCUGGAAAACAUUCAGUAUUUGUGUAUCAACAGUGAUGAAGCUAAGAAGCCACUGCAGAUGGAGGAAGCCAAGAUGAGAAGCUGCAACACUUCCAGGGACUUGGCUUGCUGCUCUUCUCAAGGAAAGAGAGUGGUGGGAGACUUUGGACUUCUGGAUGUCACUUGGCAUUGCAUCGGCACUUUGCAAAGACCUAAAGCUCUUUUAUUUUCCCCCCAGUUCUGUACAGUCUCAUUUUCAAAAGCAGCUUGGGCACUUGGCAAUCAUUUCCCUAUGGAAAGCCAAUGGAAACCAGGUUCCUGCGGCCUGCCUCUAUUUUGAAGAUAUCAAUCAAUUUGCUCGCACUGACAUUUUGGGUAAUUAGACAGCUAAUUGGGAUGUGAUCUUCAGAACGGAUCACUUCUGCAAAUGUUACCUCAGACAUUUAAACUCCAGGUGCUUGGUUUGUUUCUCUGAUUCCUCCCAAGUCCAUGACCCUAUUAGGAGGUCACCUGAAAAGAGGAAACAAAUCCUGCCUUUUGGGAGGUCUGGUUUUUGUUCCUUGGUUGUUUGGAUAUUUUUGGCAAGCUGCUGACCCUGCCUGCAUGUCUCUGGUUUGUUUCUAUCCCCAGAGCAGAGCUCUUGGCAUUGCCUUCACUUACCCUGAUGACAUUCUGGAGCAGCGCUUGGCUAUUACAGCUCAAUCCAUGUGCAUCUCCUUUGCUAUUCGCAAACCUUCGCUCUCCUAUUUAAAAGUGUAAAUAGUGACAUGUCCUGGGAAUAAACAAUGAGUUCAGGAAGAGCUGGUAGGCUGG